RNAcentral lists this ribosomal RNA (669 nucleotides) under Calonarius parasuaveolens. RNAcentral's name for it is "eukaryotic LSU rRNA". The stretch from base 284 to 437 matches the Rfam family "5.8S ribosomal RNA". The record is from RNAcentral. Lineage: Eukaryota; Fungi; Basidiomycota; Agaricomycetes; Agaricales; Cortinariaceae.
GUCGUACAGGUUUCCGUAGGUGACCUGCGGAAGGAUCAUUAUUGAAAUAAACUUGAUAAGUUGCUGCUGGUUCUCUAGGGAACAAUGUGCACACUUGUCAUCUUUGUAUCUUCACCUGUGCACCUUUUGUAGACCUGAUUAUCUCUCUGAAUGCUUUAUAGCACUCAGGAUUGAGGAUUGACUUCUUGUCUCUUCUUACAUUUUCAGGUCUAUGUUUCUUCAUAUACCCCAAUGUAUGUUUAUAGAAUGUAAUUAAUGGGCCUUUGUGCCUAUAAACCUUUACAACUUUCAGCAACGGAUCUCUUGGCUCUCGCAUCGAUGAAGAACGCAGCGAAAUGCGAUAAGUAAUGUGAAUUGCAGAAUUCAGUGAAUCAUCGAAUCUUUGAACGCACCUUGCGCUCCUUGGUAUUCCGAGGAGCAUGCCUGUUUGAGUGUCAUUAAUAUUAUCAACCUUUUGGGUUGGAUUUGGGUUUGCUGGCCUCUAUCAGGUCAGCUCCCCUUAAAUGCAUUAGCAGACAACAUUUUGCCAAAUGUUCAUUGGUGUGAUAAUUAUCUACGCUAUUGACAUGAAGCAAAGGUUCAGCUUCUAACUGUCCAUUGACUUGGACAACUUUAUUAAUGUGACCUCAAAUCAGGUAGGACUACCCGCUGAACUUAACAUAUCAAUAA